GCUAAGCCAUAAACAUUGAUGGCACCCUCACCAAGCCUUCCGCCAGAACAUUACAAGUAAAAAACUUAAAACUCAAAGGACUUGGCGGUGUCCCACCUCGACCUAGAGGAGCCUGUCCUAUAAUCGAUACUCCCCGCUCAACCCAACCUCUACUAGCAUUACUCAGCCUAUAUACCGCCGUCGACAGUCUACCCCAUGAGGGCCUAAUAGUAGACAAAAUAGCAACUUACGUCGCUAACACGUCAGGUCAAGGUGUAGCAAAUGUUGAGGAAGUGAUUGGCUACAUUUUUUAUUUUAAAAUAUACGAAAUACAACUUGAAACCAUGUACAAAGGUGAAUUUAGCAGUAAAAUAGGCAAGAGUGCCUACUUUAACAUCGCUCUGGGACGCGC
This 391-nucleotide ribosomal RNA is filed under the name Acanthodactylus blanci. RNAcentral's name for it is "partial 12S ribosomal RNA". It matches the Rfam family "Bacterial small subunit ribosomal RNA", at positions 794 to 1384 of the family's 1533-position model. The record is from RNAcentral. Lineage: Eukaryota; Metazoa; Chordata; Lepidosauria; Squamata; Lacertidae.